This 497-nucleotide ribosomal RNA is filed under the name uncultured bacterium. RNAcentral describes it as "partial 16S ribosomal RNA". It matches the Rfam family "Bacterial small subunit ribosomal RNA", at positions 28 to 507 of the family's 1533-position model. The record is from RNAcentral.
GAUGAACGCUGGCGGCGUGCCUAAUACAUGCAAGUCGAGCGAACAGACGAGGAGCUUGCUCCUCUGAUGUUAGCGGCGGACGGGUGAGUAACACGUGGAUAACCUACCUAUAAGACUGGGAUAACUUCGGGAAACCGGAGCUAAUACCGGAUAACAUGUUGAACCGCAUGGUUCAACAGUGAAAGACGGUCUUGCUGUCACUUAUAGAUGGAUCCGCGCCGCAUUAGCUAGUUGGUAAGGUAACGGCUUACCAAGGCAACGAUGCGUAGCCGACCUGAGAGGGUGAUCGGCCACACUGGAACUGAGACACGGCCCAGACUCCUACGGGAGGCAGCAGUAGGGAAUCUUCCGCAAUGGGCGAAAGCCUGACGGAGCAACGCCGCGUGAGUGAAGAAGGUCUUCGGAUCGUAAAACUCUGUUAUUAGGGAAGAACAAAUGUGUAAGUAACUAUGCACGUCUUGACGGUACCUAAUCAGAAAGCCACGGCUAACUACGUG